This 29-nucleotide non-coding RNA is filed under the name Bombyx mori (domestic silkworm). Lineage: Eukaryota; Metazoa; Arthropoda; Insecta; Lepidoptera; Bombycidae. The record is from RNAcentral.
UCAAGGAGUUCGGAGAGAACCCGAGCGGC